Molecule: long non-coding RNA, 1738 nt
Organism: Syngnathus typhle (broad-nosed pipefish)
Lineage: Eukaryota; Metazoa; Chordata; Actinopteri; Syngnathiformes; Syngnathidae
Exons: 3
Source: RefSeq, a predicted model, not a curated record
GUGGGCAGAGUUGAGCAAGGGGCAGAGGCCAAGCCAACACAAAUCUGAUCCAAAACAGCCCAUGCCAAGGUAAACACACAGUGAGCAGGAUGGAAGCUGAAGAUGCAAAUACAGACAGAUUAUAGUUGUUUGACAUGUAUCCCUUCCCAUCUGAUUCCCAACCUGGAGAAUGAACCGUUGCAAUCUGCUCAGAAAGGAGUGUCACUAGCUGAGAAAAGAAAACAAGAGACCUCCCUUCAUUUAUGGAGGGAUUUGGUAGGAAAUAUAUUUUUUUCAAAAUGGCCAACUACAAGAUGACAAACAUAAUAAGGAUAAUGCAGUACACUGAACUAUUGGAUAGUUAUGCCUUUUAAACUAUGUACCGCAUCCAUAUACGUUAGAUCUUUGCCUGAAUUUAUAUGCUCUACAGAUGUUCCAGGAGUCCUUCAGCAAAGCGUCUUUGUGAAGAAUGCACAACUCCAGCCAUAUAUGUACAUGUCAAGUUGUCCUGGAAGACAUCUGGCCUCCUUGAGUUUUGACAGUAUUCCCCAAGUCUGAGUAUGUUUUUUUCCAGCAGGACAAUAGCCAAAUGAACAUGUGGAUGUAGGACAGCAAAGCCAGCCUAUCCUAGCUUCCAGAUCUGAUCCCUACUGAAAAGUGAUACAAAAGAAAAAUGGCCACAAGCCAGCAAGCAAAAUUGAGCUAACUGAUUAUUAUUUUUUGUGCCACGUGACAAAGCCACCUAGAGCGUACUGUAAUUUAAAAAUAUGAUUUUCCAUUUAAUAUUGUAUUGAUUUAAAACUAAAACAUUAGCAUUUAGUUUUUAAAAUGGUUCCACCCACAUUGCCAGAAGUGCUUUGAAAUUUUUGUAAAUUAAGAUUUAGUUGCAGUGAGAACACAAUCCUCAGUAACACAGGCAGACAGUUUAGUGUAUGAUUUAGUUUGCUUGGUGAAAAAGUAAACUCAAUCAAUAGUUGACAUAAGUCAGCGUAUAGACUUCUUGCAGAGAGUAACUCAUUUUCUUGCUUGGCCCUUUCAUUCCCCAUCAUAUUUUAUGAGGUGUGGCGGCUCCAAUUGCCUCGAGACUUUCUAUGCUUUGACAGUAUCUGAAUGGAGACAACACCAAGGUCAUGUCAGCGCUGCAAACGUGACCGUCGGUGCAUCCACCCACUGAGAUUGUGGGAAGACAAGAUGGACACUUGGACAAAGCAGGUGGGGUGCCAGACGGACAGACUGGUGGCCAUGAUAUCUUGUCACAGUCCUUCAAAAGAUGCAGCACCAACGCAUCCCAGCCCCACUCUCCAUGCGUCACAGUGUUUUUGGGAAUUGAAAGAGUGAGUGCUACCUAUUCAGCACAACCAAAGUAACAAAGAACAGGCUUGGAUGUGGCAGUAUAGAGCGCCCGAAGGAGAGGGAUGAGAUGAUACAAAAUAUGGCAACGUGUGAUUGAGCAACCAGAGCUUAAACCAGGCCAUGCACAGCUCUGUGAAAGGACCAUAGCAUCUGCCAACAUGAGGGACCCCAUGAUAGUCAUAACACCGGCCUUCCUAUGUGGAGAUUCUAUAUGCUCGAGUGGGCUUUCUUCAGGUACUUUUCUUUCCUUGUACAUUCUGAAAACGUGUUAAUUGGAAAGACAAAACUGUCCCUUGGCGUGGAUGUACGUGUGACUGGUCGGUCUAUAUGUGUCAUGCAGUUCAGACUGCACCCCGCCUCUCCUGCAAAGUCAGCUGGGAUUGGCUGUAGCAAACCCAAGACCCUA